RNAcentral lists this unclassified non-coding RNA (267 nucleotides) under Bombus terrestris (buff-tailed bumblebee). RNAcentral's name for it is "misc RNA ENSBTSG00005024493.1". The record is from RNAcentral. Lineage: Eukaryota; Metazoa; Arthropoda; Insecta; Hymenoptera; Apidae.
GAGAGAGAGAGAGAGAGAGAGGAAGAGUAGAGUGGAAACGAGAAUCGGGGGGUUUACCUGUUGACAGUAACGACGCCCGGCGAAAAGGGCUUCGAAAGAAAAACGCCGAUAGGACGUGUGUUUACGAAAGCUGAAAUUCCAACGGAGGCGCACGGGGGUUUGGUCGAAAAAGGGGGAGGUUAGUCAUUGGCGCAACCACCCCCGCGUACUCGUCGAGUAGCCGCAGCGAGGGCAACGUUGUCGAGCGCAAUAAAGACACCCCUCCCC